CCUACGGGUGGCAGCAGUAGGGAAUAUUGCACAAUGGGGGAAACCCUGAUGCAGCAACGCCGCGUGAGUGAUGACGGCUUUCGGAUUGUAAAGCUCUGUCGUCAGAGAAGAAAAUGACGGUACCUGAGUAAGAAGCCACGGCUAACUACGUGCCAGCAGCCGCGGUAAUACGUAGGGGGCAAGCGUUAUCCGGAUUUACUGGGUGUAAAGGGAGCGUAGACGGAAGUGCAAGUGUGAAGUGAAAGACUCGGGCUCAACCUGAGUACUGCAUUGGAAACUGGACGUCUAGAGUGCAGGAGAGGAGAGUGGAAUUCCUAGUGUAGCGGUGAAAUGCGUAGAGAUUAGGAGGAACACCAGUGGCGAAGGCGACUUUCUGGACUGUAACUGACGUUGAGGCUCGAAAGCGUGGGGAGCAAACAGGAUUAGAUACCCGUGUAGUC
RNAcentral lists this ribosomal RNA (440 nucleotides) under uncultured bacterium. RNAcentral describes it as "partial 16S ribosomal RNA". It matches the Rfam family "Bacterial small subunit ribosomal RNA", at positions 338 to 795 of the family's 1533-position model. The record is from RNAcentral.